This is a small nucleolar RNA of Choloepus hoffmanni (Hoffmann's two-fingered sloth), 75 nucleotides long. The record is from Ensembl. Lineage: Eukaryota; Metazoa; Chordata; Mammalia; Pilosa; Megalonychidae.
UGGACCAAUGAUGAGAACUGGUGGCGCAUGAGACAUGGAUGAUGAAUAAUAUGUGUCUGGAAGUCUGAGGUCCAA